AGAGUUUGAUCCUGGCUCAGGAUGAACGCUAGCGGGAGGCUUAAUACAUGCAAGUCGAGCGGUAAGGUUUUCGGACCCUAGAGCGGCGAACAGGUGAGUAACGCGUACGAAACCUACCUUUAAGAGAGGAAUAGCCCUGGGAAACUGGGAGUAAUGCCUCAUAGUAUUCAUUUACCGCAUGGUUUAUGGAUUAAAGCUACGGCGCUUAAAGAUGGUCGUGCGUCUGAUUAGCUAGUUGGUAGGGUAACGGCCUACCAAGGCUACGAUCAGUAGGGGGCGUGAGAGCGUGGCCCCCCACACGGGUACUGAGACACGGACCCGACUCCUACGGGAGGCAGCAGUAAGGAAUAUUGGGCAAUGGACGCAAGUCUGACCCAGCCAUCCCGCGUGCAGGACGAAUGCCCUAUGGGUUGUAAACUGCUUUUGUUUGGGAAGAAAUGUAUUCUUUUAAGAGUAUUUGACGGUACCAGACGAAUAAGCACCGGCUAACUCCGUGCCAGCAGCCGCGGUAAUACGGAGGGUGCAAGCGUUAUCCGGAAUCACUGGGUUUAAAGGGUGCGUAGGCGGCCAGAUAAGUCAGAGGUGAAAGUUUCCGGCUCAACCGGGAGAUUGCCUUUGAUACUGUUUGGCUUGAAUCAGAUUGAGGUUGGCGGAAUGUGACAUGUAGCGGUGAAAUGCAUAGAUAUGUCAUAGAACAUCGAUUGCGAAGGCAGCUGGCUGGAUCUGUAUUGACGCUGA
Molecule: ribosomal RNA, 738 nt
Filed under: uncultured bacterium
Lineage: Bacteria
Description: bacterial SSU rRNA
Rfam family: Bacterial small subunit ribosomal RNA
Source: RNAcentral